Molecule: non-coding RNA, 218 nt
Filed under: Macleaya cordata
Lineage: Eukaryota; Viridiplantae; Streptophyta; Magnoliopsida; Ranunculales; Papaveraceae
Description: Bacterial large subunit ribosomal RNA
Rfam family: Bacterial large subunit ribosomal RNA
Source: Rfam by way of RNAcentral
UUUAAGUUUGAACGAACUUUAAUUUUUUAUAAUGAAAGUGCUCUAAUUAUGUCAUGUUUUAGUUUAAGUUUAAAUGAUCAAUUGAUGAGUGUCAUAUGUCCAUGACCAGGAUGAAGCUUGGGUGAAAAUAAGUAGAGGUCCGAACAGACUGAUGCUGAAGAAUCAGCGGAUGAGUUGUGGUUAGGAGAGAAAUGCCACUCGAACCCAGAGCUAGCUGG